GCCGGGUGCGGUGGCGCGUGCCUGUAGUCCCAGCUACUCAGGAGGCUGUGGCUGGAGGAUGCUUGAGCCCAGGAGUUCUGGGCUGCAGUGCGCUAUGCCGAUCGGGUGUCCGCACUAAGUUCGGCAUCAAUAUGGUGACCUCCCAGGAGCUGGGGACCACCAGGUUGCCUAAGGAGGGAUGAACCGGCCCAGGUUGGAAAUGGAGCAGGUCAAAACUCCCGUGCUGAGCAGUAGUGAGAUCGCGCCUGUGAAUAGCCACCGCACUCCAGCCUGGCAACAUAGCAAGAACCUGUCUCU
This 297-nucleotide signal recognition particle RNA is filed under the name Saimiri boliviensis boliviensis (Bolivian squirrel monkey). Its description in RNAcentral is "Metazoan signal recognition particle RNA (ENSSBOG00000007914.1)". It matches the Rfam family "Metazoan signal recognition particle RNA". Rfam says of the family: The signal recognition particle (SRP) is a universally conserved ribonucleoprotein. It is involved in the co-translational targeting of proteins to membranes. The eukaryotic SRP consists of a 300-nucleotide 7S RNA and six proteins: SRPs 72, 68, 54, 19, 14, and 9. Lineage: Eukaryota; Metazoa; Chordata; Mammalia; Primates; Cebidae. The record is from RNAcentral.